Molecule: ribosomal RNA, 467 nt
Filed under: uncultured bacterium
Lineage: Bacteria
Description: partial 16S ribosomal RNA
Rfam family: Bacterial small subunit ribosomal RNA
Source: RNAcentral
GAUGAACGCUGGCGGCGUGCUUAACACAUGCAAGUCGAACGGUGAAGGCGGAGCUUGCUCUGCUGGAUCAGUGGCGAACGGGUGAGUAACACGUGAGCAAUCUGCCCCUGACUCUGGGAUAGCGCUGGAAACGGCGGCUAAUACUGGAUACGAGCUGCGAAGGCAUCUUCAGCAGCUGGAAAGAACUUCGGUCAGGGAUGAGCUCGCGGCCUAUCAGCUUGUUGGUGAGGUAACGGCUCACCAAGGCGUCGACGGGUAGCCGGCCUGAGAGGGUGACCGGCCACACUGGGACUGAGACACGGCCCAGACUCCUACGGGAGGCAGCAGUGGGGAAUAUUGCACAAUGGGCGAAAGCCUGAUGCAGCAACGCCGCGUGAGGGACGACGGCCUUCGGGUUGUAAACCUCUUUUAGCAGGGAAGAAGCGAAAGUGACGGUACCUGCAGAAAAAGCGCCGGCUAACUACGUG